AAUAGAUACCCAGGUAGUCCACGCCGUAAACGAUGAGUGCUAAGUGUUGGGGGUUUCCGCCCCUCAGUGCUGCAGCUAACGCAUUAAGCACUCCGCCUGGGGAGUACGGUCGCAAGACUGAAACUCAAAGGAAUUGACGGGGGCCCGCACAAGCGGUGGAGCAUGUGGUUUAAUUCGAAGCAACGCGAAGAACCUUACCAGGUCUUGACAUCCCGGUGACCACUAUGGAGACAUAGUUUCCCCUUCGGGGGCAACGGUGACAGGUGGUGCAUGGUUGUCGUCAGCUCGUGUCGUGAGAUGUUGGGUUAAGUCCCGCAACGAGCGCAACCCUUAUUCUUAGUUGCCAUCAUUCAGUUGGGCACUCUAAGGAGACUGCCGGUGAUAAACCGGAGGAAGGUGGGGAUGACGUCAAAUCAUCAUGCCCCUUAUGACCUGGGCUACACACGUGCUACAAUGGACGGUACAAACGGUUGCCAACCCGCGAGGGGAGCUAAUCCGAUAAAACCGUUCUCAGUUCGGAUUGUAGGCUGCAACUCGCCUACAU
RNAcentral lists this ribosomal RNA (544 nucleotides) under uncultured bacterium. Its description in RNAcentral is "bacterial SSU rRNA". It matches the Rfam family "Bacterial small subunit ribosomal RNA", at positions 777 to 1321 of the family's 1533-position model. The record is from RNAcentral.